UUCCCUUAGAACCCAAGAGCAUCUGCCUGGGGCAUGAAAAGAUGUGUCAACACAUGCCAUACUCGCACUGUUCUGCAGAACAUCACUAUUCUGCAUAAGAAAUUUAACUUUCCGGAGCCUCCAGAAAGGAGGCUUACCUUAGGGGAUCUUUAUCUUGGUUGCCAGUUUGAUGGGAUCUUGGAUCAAUCAAGAGAUGUGCUUCAACACUACUCUUCGAGGAGAUGCUACCCAGAAGGGAGAGCAGUACCAGCCCAGAUGUAGAGGUUGAGGGAAAAAUAUUGAUGCUUUUGCCUGCCUGCCGUUGGUCCUUGCUGGAAUCCCCUGAGCCUUUAGAAGCAGGCUGGGACCCGCUGCUGUGACAUUCAGCCUUGUGAACUGAACGGAUCCCACAUUCGGAGCCUCUCCAGUGCUCACACAACCACUCGGGACUACACAGACCUAUUGUGCAAGCCGUGUAAUAAAUCCCAACUUGUCAUGGUGUAUCCAGGACUUGCUACAGUGGGAGAAUUGGGAUCUGAGGAUGCCAGGUAACCAUGUUUUCUGUUGCUUAUGUUCUUACACUUGCUUUAUGCCAUCUGAUUAUCUCUAGUGCUACCUGACUUCACUAUAUCUGGCUGGAACCUGUCCUUCCUAUAAUCCUGGUUGUGUCAGAGCUCCUAAAUUUCAGCUGUCUCUGGGAUCCUGGGAUCCUGAGAUCCUGGGUGUGUCCUAGCUCCUGGGAGUCAAGCUGCCUCUGCGACCCUGAGAUCCUGGUGUAACCAAGCUUCUGGGUCCUAUGAUGCUGUGGUCCUGGGCAUGUUAGAGUGCCUGGGAAAGGCGCUUCUUCUGGGUGUUGUGGGA
RNAcentral lists this long non-coding RNA (840 nucleotides) under Mus musculus (house mouse). Its description in RNAcentral is "predicted gene, 31517". Lineage: Eukaryota; Metazoa; Chordata; Mammalia; Rodentia; Muridae. The record is from RNAcentral.